Molecule: ribosomal RNA, 253 nt
Filed under: uncultured bacterium
Lineage: Bacteria
Description: partial 16S ribosomal RNA
Rfam family: Bacterial small subunit ribosomal RNA
Source: RNAcentral
UACGUAGGGUGCAAGCGUUGUCCGGAAUUAUUGGGCGUAAAGAGCUCGUAGGCGGUCUGUCGCGUCGGAUGUGAAAAUCCAGGGCUUAACCCUGGACCUGCAUUCGAUACGGGCAGACUAGAGUUCGGUAGGGGAGACUGGAAUUCCUGGUGUAGCGGUGAAAUGCGCAGAUAUCAGGAGGAACACCAAUGGCGAAGGCAGCUCGCUGGGACGGUACUGACGCUGAGGCGCGAAAGCGUGGGGAGCAAACAGG